RNAcentral lists this ribosomal RNA (1528 nucleotides) under Klebsiella pneumoniae. RNAcentral's name for it is "bacterial SSU rRNA". It matches the Rfam family "Bacterial small subunit ribosomal RNA". RNAcentral also lists the same sequence under 1 other name. The record is from RNAcentral. Lineage: Bacteria; Pseudomonadati; Pseudomonadota; Gammaproteobacteria; Enterobacterales; Enterobacteriaceae.
AGAGUUUGAUCAUGGCUCAGAUUGAACGCUGGCGGCAGGCCUAACACAUGCAAGUCGAGCGGUAGCACAGAGAGCUUGCUCUCGGGUGACGAGCGGCGGACGGGUGAGUAAUGUCUGGGAAACUGCCUGAUGGAGGGGGAUAACUACUGGAAACGGUAGCUAAUACCGCAUAACGUCGCAAGACCAAAGUGGGGGACCUUCGGGCCUCAUGCCAUCAGAUGUGCCCAGAUGGGAUUAGCUAGUAGGUGGGGUAACGGCUCACCUAGGCGACGAUCCCUAGCUGGUCUGAGAGGAUGACCAGCCACACUGGAACUGAGACACGGUCCAGACUCCUACGGGAGGCAGCAGUGGGGAAUAUUGCACAAUGGGCGCAAGCCUGAUGCAGCCAUGCCGCGUGUAUGAAGAAGGCCUUCGGGUUGUAAAGUACUUUCAGCGGGGAGGAAGGCGAUAAGGUUAAUAACCUUGUCGAUUGACGUUACCCGCAGAAGAAGCACCGGCUAACUCCGUGCCAGCAGCCGCGGUAAUACGGAGGGUGCAAGCGUUAAUCGGAAUUACUGGGCGUAAAGCGCACGCAGGCGGUCUGUCAAGUCGGAUGUGAAAUCCCCGGGCUCAACCUGGGAACUGCAUUCGAAACUGGCAGGCUAGAGUCUUGUAGAGGGGGGUAGAAUUCCAGGUGUAGCGGUGAAAUGCGUAGAGAUCUGGAGGAAUACCGGUGGCGAAGGCGGCCCCCUGGACAAAGACUGACGCUCAGGUGCGAAAGCGUGGGGAGCAAACAGGAUUAGAUACCCUGGUAGUCCACGCCGUAAACGAUGUCGAUUUGGAGGUUGUGCCCUUGAGGCGUGGCUUCCGGAGCUAACGCGUUAAAUCGACCGCCUGGGGAGUACGGCCGCAAGGUUAAAACUCAAAUGAAUUGACGGGGGCCCGCACAAGCGGUGGAGCAUGUGGUUUAAUUCGAUGCAACGCGAAGAACCUUACCUGGUCUUGACAUCCACAGAACUUAGCAGAGAUGCUUUGGUGCCUUCGGGAACUGUGAGACAGGUGCUGCAUGGCUGUCGUCAGCUCGUGUUGUGAAAUGUUGGGUUAAGUCCCGCAACGAGCGCAACCCUUAUCUUUUGUUGCCAGCGGUUCGGCCGGGAACUCAAAGGAGACUGCCAGUGAUAAACUGGAGGAAGGUGGGGAUGACGUCAAGUCAUCAUGGCCCUUACGACCAGGGCUACACACGUGCUACAAUGGCAUAUACAAAGAGAAGCGACCUCGCGAGAGCAAGCGGACCUCAUAAAGUAUGUCGUAGUCCGGAUUGGAGUCUGCAACUCGACUCCAUGAAGUCGGAAUCGCUAGUAAUCGUAGAUCAGAAUGCUACGGUGAAUACGUUCCCGGGCCUUGUACACACCGCCCGUCACACCAUGGGAGUGGGUUGCAAAAGAAGUAGGUAGCUUAACCUUCGGGAGGGCGCUUACCACUUUGUGAUUCAUGACUGGGGUGAAGUCGUAACAAGGUAACCGUAGGGGAACCUGCGGUUGGAUCACCU